UAGCAUCUCGUCCAGGUCAGAGUUCGAGGUGCACCCAACUUUUGAUACAGCACUUCAUGGUUCCUCGAAUGCCAUUGGUGACAUAUGUGACAGGACUUGUUGUAAUAAAGUGUUGUCUUAUGUGACCAAAAACUUGCUAUGAUUUGAUUUGAACCAGUGUUAGUGUACCACAUACUGUGAUGCUUGAAAGAUAGGUGGGAUGUAAUAAAAAUAAGCUUGUCAAUUUUUGUGCGGGACAGCGGUUGUGAAGGACGCUUCCUGUUAUCUCAGAAACUAGCAGCUUGACCCCCCAUUUUCUGUGAUUUAUUUCAAGGUUGCUGAGUUCGCAGUGUUUCAACUUUAGAGAGAUCUGCAACAACUUUACUGCCGGCAGAAAACGUACAGCCCAUGUCUUUUGAAAGUAAGAGUAAAGAUUCUGCAGGCCCAUUGUUAAUGGUAUGGACUGCACUGUGGGCCCUAGCUGCGAAAUUCCUGCUGAAGGUGGUGUGUCUGGUUCUUUGGCAUCCACUGGCUGAUGGUGCAGGGAUAUUCAUGCACAAACACAAUAGACGGAAGUUUUCGGCACCUAUGGGCAUUUUUGUGAGCCCAACCUGAACUGUCACAUUUGGCUGAGCUGCCCUCCGCCCCCUGGAUCUUACUUCAGUUUUCUCCACUUCGUCAUACAAGGACAUGUAAGGCUGUCCUUCUCAAAUGUAGCCCACUGCACACUUUCUGAAAGUGUGUGGUAGCAGUAUAGGUAGUAGUCUACCAAAUAGCAUCUCGUCCAGGUCAGAGUUCGAGGUGCACCCAACUUUUGAUACAGCACUUCAUGGUUCCUCGAAUGCCAUUGGUGAUAUAUGUGACAGGACUUGUUGUAAUAAAGUGUUGUCUUAUGUGACCAAAAACUUGCUAUGAUUUGAUUUGAACCAGUGUUAGUGUACCACAUACUGUGAUGCUUGAAAGAUAGGUGGGAUGUAAUAAAAAUAAGCUUGUCAAUUUUUGUGCGGGACAGCGGUUGUGAAGGACGCUUCCUGUUAUCUCAGAAACUAGCAGCUUGACCCCCCAUUUUCUGUGAUUUAUUUCAAGGGUGAGGUGUUCUAGUAUUUAUAUAUGUUGUGUGUAUGUUGAUUGAUACGUUGCAUCUAACUGUUAUACCCCCAUAUGUUACUAUGGUCGUCUAUGGGAUUUUAUUUGGUGUUAUACACCCUAAAGAGAGGACCGACGCAUCACAGAAUACCGUUAAUCUGCCAAACCGUAAGUAACCGUUAAUUAUAAUCUAAAUACUCGGUAAAAUCACGACAGCACGCUACAGAAAAACACGUCAGGGUUUACUCCGCGAUCACUGGAUAUUCUUGAAAACGCCACUACGAUUUCGGCCGCAAAUGUUCGAUCACAGUCAGCUAGAGGUCGCGGUAUAGGAUUCGGCAGAAACAUGUAUGGCAGAGGACGUGCAAGACAGUUCUCCAGUUUUAACAGAGAUGUGCAA
Long non-coding RNA from Gigantopelta aegis, 1465 nucleotides. RefSeq lists it as uncharacterized. The transcript has 4 exons. The record is from RefSeq and is a predicted model, not a curated record. NCBI's taxonomy places the organism in Eukaryota, Metazoa, Mollusca, Gastropoda, Neomphalida, Peltospiridae.